This 253-nucleotide ribosomal RNA is filed under the name uncultured bacterium. RNAcentral describes it as "partial 16S ribosomal RNA". It matches the Rfam family "Bacterial small subunit ribosomal RNA", at positions 524 to 776 of the family's 1533-position model. The record is from RNAcentral.
UACGUAGGGAGCAAGCGUUGUCCGGAAUCAUUGGGCGUAAAGCGCGCGUAGGUGGCCAUUUAAGUCCGCUGUGAAAGUCAAAGGCUCAACCUUUGAAAGCCGGUGGAUACUGGGUGGCUAGAGUACGGAAGAGGCGAGUGGAAUUCCUGGUGUAGCGGUGGAAUGCGCAGAUAUCAGGAGGAACACCGAUGGCGAAGGCAGGUCUCUGGGCCACUACUGACGCUGAGAAGCGAAAGCAUGGGGGGCAAACAGG